UAGGGUCGGUUCGGCCGGAUUUCACACAGGUGUUGCAUGGCUGUCGUCAGCUCGUGUCGUGAGAUGUUGGGUUAAGUCCCGCAACGAGCGUAACCCUCAUCCUUAGUUGCAUCAGGUAAUGCUGAGCACUUUAAGGAAACUGCUAGUGAUAAACUGGAGGAAGGUGGGGAUGAUGUCAAGUCAUCAUGGCCCUUAUGGAGUGGGCUACACACGUGCUACAAUGGUGGCUACAAUGGGCUGCAAAGUCGCGAGGCCAAGCUAAUCCCCUUAAAAGCCAUCUCAGUUCGGAUUGUACUCUGCAACUCGAGUGCAUGAAGUUGGAAUCGCUAGUAAUCGUGGAUCAGCAUGCCACGGUGAAUACGUUCUCGGGUCUUGUACACACUGCCCGUCACGCCAUGGGAAUUGGUUUCACUCGAAGCUAAUGACCUAACCGCAAGGAGGGAGUUAUUUAAAGUGGGAUCAGUGACUGGGGUGAAGUCGUAACAAGGUAAGCGUAGUGCU
RNAcentral lists this ribosomal RNA (501 nucleotides) under uncultured bacterium. Its description in RNAcentral is "bacterial SSU rRNA". It matches the Rfam family "Bacterial small subunit ribosomal RNA", at positions 1010 to 1509 of the family's 1533-position model. The record is from RNAcentral.